AAAAAGGGCUUCUGUCGUGAGUGGCACACAUAGGGUGCCUCGUUUGCUCUUCAUGCGGAAUCGACAUCAAGAGAUUUCGGAAGCAUAGUUUUUGCUGCUUGGGCAGCUGGUGAUCAUUGGUCCCAGUGCCCUU
RNAcentral lists this small nuclear RNA (133 nucleotides) under Dasypus novemcinctus (nine-banded armadillo). RNAcentral's name for it is "U11 spliceosomal RNA (ENSDNOG00000044116.1)". It matches the Rfam family "U11 spliceosomal RNA". The record is from RNAcentral. Lineage: Eukaryota; Metazoa; Chordata; Mammalia; Cingulata; Dasypodidae.